GAUGAACGCUGGCGGCGUGCCUAAUACAUGCAAGUCGAGCGAACGGACGAGAAGCUUGCUUCUCUGAUGUUAGCGGCGGACGGGUGAGUAACACGUGGAUAACCUACCUAUAAGACUGGGAUAACUUCGGGAAACCGGAGCUAAUACCGGAUAAUAUUUUGAACCGCAUGGUUCAAAAGUGAAAGACGGUCUUGCUGUCACUUAUAGAUGGAUCCGCGCUGCAUUAGCUAGUUGGUAAGGUAACGGCUUACCAAGGCAACGAUGCAUAGCCGACCUGAGAGGGUGAUCGGACACACUGGAACUGAGACACGGUCCAGACUCCUACGGGAGGCAGCAGUAGGGAAUCUUCCGCAAUGGGCGAAAGCCUGACGUAGCAACGCCGCGUGAGUGAUGAAGGUCUUCGGAUCGUAAAACUCUGUUAUUAGGGAAGAACAUAUGUGUAAGUAACUGUGCACAUCUUGACGGUACCUAAUCAGAAAGCCACGGCUAACUACGUG
This 497-nucleotide ribosomal RNA is filed under the name uncultured bacterium. RNAcentral describes it as "partial 16S ribosomal RNA". It matches the Rfam family "Bacterial small subunit ribosomal RNA", at positions 28 to 507 of the family's 1533-position model. The record is from RNAcentral.